Molecule: ribosomal RNA, 752 nt
Filed under: uncultured marine bacterium
Lineage: Bacteria
Description: bacterial SSU rRNA
Rfam family: Bacterial small subunit ribosomal RNA
Source: RNAcentral
UAUACAUGCAAGUCGAGCGCGCCCUUCGGGGUGAGCGGCGGACGGGUGAGUAACGCGUGGGAAUAUGCCCUUCUCUAAGGAAUAGCCUCUGGAAACGGAGAGUAAUACCUUAUACGCCCUUUGGGGGAAAGAUUUAUCGGAGAAGGAUUAGCCCGCGUUAGAUUAGGUAGUUGGUGGGGUAAUGGCCUACCAAGCCUACGAUCUAUAGCUGGUUUGAGAGGAUGAUCAGCCACACUGGGACUGAGACACGGCCCAGACUCCUACGGGAGGCAGCAGUAGGGAAUCUUAGACAAUGGGGGCAACCCUGAUCUAGCCAUGCCGCGUGUGUGAUGAAGGCCCUAGGGUCGUAAAGCACUUUCGCCAGAGAUGAUAAUGACAGUAUCUGGUAAAGAAACCCCGGCUAACUCCGUGCCAGCAGCCGCGGUAAUACGGAGGGGGUUAGCGUUGUUCGGAAUUACUGGGCGUAAAGCGCACGUAGGCGGAUUAGUAAGUUAGAGGUGAAAUCCCAGGGCUCAACCCUGGAACUGCCUUUAAUACUGCUAGUCUUGAGUUCGAGAGAGGUAAGUGGAAUUCCGAGUGUAGAGGUGAAAUUCGUAGAUAUUCGGAGGAACACCAGUGGCGAAGGCGGCUUACUGGCUCGAUACUGACGCUGAGGUGCGAAAGUGUGGGGAGCAAACAGGAUUAGAUACCCUGGUAGUCCACACCGUAAACGAUGAAUGCCAGACGUCAGCAAGUAUACUUGUUGGUGUCAC